This 253-nucleotide ribosomal RNA is filed under the name uncultured bacterium. Its description in RNAcentral is "partial 16S ribosomal RNA". It matches the Rfam family "Bacterial small subunit ribosomal RNA", at positions 524 to 776 of the family's 1533-position model. The record is from RNAcentral.
UACGUAGGCAGCGAGCGUUGUUCGGAAUUACUGGGCGUAAAGAGUGUGUAGGCGGUGCUCUAAGUUUGGUGUGAAAUCUCCCGGCUCAACUGGGAGGGUGCAUCGAAUACUGGAAUGCUAGAGGGUGGGAGAGGUAAGCGGAAUUCCUGGUGUAGCGGUGAAAUGCGUAGAUAUCAGGAGGAACACCUGUGGUGUAGACAGCUUACUGGACCAUUUCUGACGCUGAGACACGAAAGCGUGGGUAGCAAACAGG